Molecule: ribosomal RNA, 253 nt
Filed under: uncultured bacterium
Lineage: Bacteria
Description: partial 16S ribosomal RNA
Rfam family: Bacterial small subunit ribosomal RNA
Source: RNAcentral
UACGUAGGGGGCAAGCGUUGUCCGGAAUUAUUGGGCGUAAAGCGCGUGUAGGCGGCUCGAUAAGUCUGCUGUGAAAGUCCAGGGCUCAACCCUGGAACGCCGGUGGAUACUGUCGAGCUCGAGUCCGGAAGAGGAGAGUGGAAUUCCUGGUGUAGCGGUGAAAUGCGCAGAUAUCAGGAAGAACACCCGUGGCGAAGGCGGCUCUCUGGGACGGUACUGACGCUGAGACGCGAAAGCGUGGGGAGCGAACAGG